GUUUGACACCCCUGCCUGCAGAGUAUGAGAGUUCCUGUUGGCUCCAACUUCCUUAGCAUUUGAUUGGAAAGGAAACAAAAACAGCCUUUAUUUGCAGGAUCUAUUCUGGGCUCAGCCAAUUGGAUGCCCACAUGUGGGACUCUGAACAUGGAGGGAGUGAUGCAGAGUUCCUGGCGGAGAGCUGAAUAUUCGUGAGGAAGUGUCCAGUGACAACAGUUGUCAAACUCAUCACCCUGCUCCCGUGUGAACACAGGAGUAUCCUGUGUUGCUAUCAAAUUCCUCUGCCUGGUUUCCAUCCCAUCCAUUCAGUGGAUUAUUCAACAUUCUUCCAAUAACACCUUUUCUGCUUAAAUGAGUCAGGAUGAAAAAAAGAAAGUCAGGAUGGCUUUGUGAUUUUUUUUUUUAAGAUUUUAUUUAUUUAUUCAACAGAGAUAGAGACAGCCAGCGAGAGAGGGAACACAAGCAGGGGGAGUGGGAGAGGAAGAAGCAGGCUCAUAGCGGAGGAGCCUGAUGUGGGGCUCGAUCCCACAACGCCGGGAUCACGCCCUGAGCCGAAGGCAGACGCCCAACUGCUGUGCCACCCAGGCACCCCGGCUUUGUGAUUUUUGUUCCAAGAUAACUGAUUGAUACGCUACCAUGAAAAUACUAGUAAAAGAAUGUUGAUAAUGACAUUUGAAAUGAAUUCUCAUUACUAAUUCCAAAGGCGUGAGCUUCUUGAAGUAGAUACUGUCUCAUGUUCUAAAUCCAUGGCAUGAAAGUACAAAGAAGAUCAAAACAUGUUGAUUAAAGAAGUUAAAGUAGAUACAAUAUGCAUUUAGAUUGGAUACAAUUCAGCAACUGAUUGGACAUGGGGGCUGAGAAGAGAAGGAAUUAUGGAGAUGACUGAUUUCUCCCCUGCCUGGAAAGAUGGUAAUUCCAGUAGCAGCAGAGGGAUCAUGCAGGAGCAGAUUUGGGAAACAAAACCCUGGUAAUUCAGCACCCAUAGUGCACCGCCCCUGUUCCUGGAACACCAUGAUGUACAUGUGGUCCAAGGAAGAGGAGUGGGGAACCAUCAGUAAGCAGCAGGCAGAGAGCACAAGCUUUGGGGUCAGAAAACCAUAUGGUUAUCCAGAAAAUUAACAGCUGUAUCAUCUUUGGGAAUGUCUUCAGUCUCCACCUUCCUCUGCAAUAUUCAACCCUGCUGACCACCCCAGCUAGAAAGUCACCCUAAGGACCACCUUACUUCUCUUCUCGGUGCUCUAAACACACUGUAAACUUCUGCUUACGCAUCAUUAGCCACCUGUUUCCUGAAUAGAUGAUGACAGAAAAUACCUCCCAACUCAAAUGCUCUUCUGCAAUGUGAUCUUUCCACCCUACUUCCCCUUUAAGAGCCAUCAUAUCACAAGUGUAACUGCGGGAUCACCACGCUGUGAGAAGCCCAAGCCACACGGAGACACUUGGAUCAUGAAAUGCCAUAUGGAGAGAGAAAGACAAAGGCCAAAGAACACUGAGCACCAAACACCUCAGGGAAGAAACCGUGUUGAAACUGGAUCUUUCAG
Molecule: long non-coding RNA, 1538 nt
Organism: Ailuropoda melanoleuca (giant panda)
Lineage: Eukaryota; Metazoa; Chordata; Mammalia; Carnivora; Ursidae
Exons: 8
Source: RefSeq, a predicted model, not a curated record